UACGGAGGGUGCGAGCGUUGUCCGGAAUCACUGGGCGUAAAGGGCGCGUAGGCGGCGCGGGAAGUCAUCGGUGAAAGUUCAGGGCUCAACUCUGAAUCGGCCGGUGAUACUCUCGUGCUCGAGCACUGUAGAGGCAGGUGGAAUUCCGGGUGUAGCGGUGGAAUGCGUAGAGAUCCGGAAGAACACCGGUGGCGAAGGCGGCCUGCUGGGCAGUAGCUGACGCUGAUGCGCGACAGCGUGGGGAGCAGACAGG
Molecule: ribosomal RNA, 253 nt
Filed under: uncultured bacterium
Lineage: Bacteria
Description: partial 16S ribosomal RNA
Rfam family: Bacterial small subunit ribosomal RNA
Source: RNAcentral